Molecule: unclassified non-coding RNA, 212 nt
Filed under: Paraglomerales sp.
Lineage: Eukaryota; Fungi; Glomeromycota; Glomeromycetes; Paraglomerales
Description: partial contains 5.8S ribosomal RNA and internal transcribed spacer 2
Rfam family: 5.8S ribosomal RNA (bases 1-65)
Source: RNAcentral
GUGAAUCAUCGAAUCUUUGAACGCAAAUUGCGCCUUUUUCGGAAGGCAUGUCUGUUUGAGGGCACCAUUUAACAAAUAAUGUGCAGCGGUUUUUGUUGCACACGUCGAUGAGCUUUCCAAGAAUUUUAAAUUUUUGGUGGCGCAUAAUGAACAGCGUGAAGCUUUUUUUUUAGGUUGGGGUUUAUAAAGAUUUUUCUUGGGGUUGUGAAAGC